GACGAACGCUGGCGGCGUGCCUAACACAUGCAAGUCGAGCGAACAGACCAGGAGUUUGCUCGUCUGACGUUAGCGGCGGACGGGUGAUUAACAUGGGGAUAACCUACCUAUCAGACUGGGAUAACUACGGGAAACCGGAUCUUAUACCGGAUAAUAUAUUGAACCUCGUGGUUCAAUAGUUAGAUUCGGUUUUUCGGUCACUAAUAGCUGGAUCCGCGCCUGAUUAGCUAGUUGGUAAGGAAACGGCUUAGCAAGGCGAGGAUGGGUAGCCGACCUGAACGGGAGGUCGGCGACACUGGAGGGGAGACGGGGUCCAGACUCCUAGGGUAGGACGCAGUCGGGAAUCGUACGCAAUGGGGGAAAGCGUGACGGAGCAACGGCGCGUGAGUGAUGAAGGUCUUCGGAUCGUAAAGCUCUGUUAUUAGGGAAGAACAAAUGUGUAAGUAACUAUGCACGUAUUGACGGUACCUGAUCAAGAAGCCACGGCUAACUACGUG
This 497-nucleotide ribosomal RNA is filed under the name uncultured bacterium. RNAcentral's name for it is "partial 16S ribosomal RNA". It matches the Rfam family "Bacterial small subunit ribosomal RNA", at positions 28 to 507 of the family's 1533-position model. The record is from RNAcentral.